AACGAACGCUGGCGGCGUGCCUAACACAUGCAAGUCGUGCGAGAAAGUUCCUUCGGGAGCGAGUAAAGCGGCGCACGGGUGAGUAACACGUAGGUAACCUGCCCCCCAGUCUGGAACAACUAGAGGAAACUCUAGCUAAUGCCGGAUGAGACCACGAUCCCUUCGGGGGUUGCGGCCAAAGAUGGCCUCUACUUGUAAGCUAUCGCUGAGGGAUGGGCCUGCGGGCCAUUAGCUUGUUGGUGAGGUAACGGCUCACCAAGGCUGUGAUGGCUAGCUGGUCUGAGAGGAUGACCAGCCACACUGGGACUGAGACACGGCCCAGACUCCUACGGGAGGCAGCAGUGGGAAUAUUGCGCAAGUGGCGAAAGCCUGACGCAGCGACGCCGCGUGGGUGAUGAAGGCCUUCGGGUCGGUAACGACCGUCGUCGCGACGGGAAGGAAAGUAAGACGAUCGGUA
This 457-nucleotide ribosomal RNA is filed under the name uncultured bacterium. RNAcentral's name for it is "bacterial SSU rRNA". It matches the Rfam family "Bacterial small subunit ribosomal RNA", at positions 29 to 477 of the family's 1533-position model. The record is from RNAcentral.